UGGUUCCACACGAUAUUUUGGAAUUUCCGGUUGUUAGCGACUUAGCGUCCUAUUGAAAUGUUUCAUAGAAUUAAACAUUUAUAAAUUAAAUUAAGGUUAACCGAAAUUCUAAAUCCACUAGGUAAGUUAGGUAACAACAUAAAAAUAAAUUCAAGUUAAAUAAUAGUACGAAAAAUGGUUGUUUGGUGGGCCAACUUGGAUGUUUUGUGGGAUGAACUUUGAAAGCUUUUUGAAGUGAAGAUUUGAGUUUGAGGUUAGUGGUCUUUAGUUCAUCUGAUUUUAAUUGGGUUUUAUCGUAAUGGGUCUUCGGGCGGCGAGUUUAUCCCGGAACUGGUGAUAGUGGGCUUGGGCUACCUAGUGUUGUCUGCGGUGGCAGGUGUAUGGGGUCGCCUCUUGCCAUUGGGUUACCCCGGUUAGUCGACCUUUUAUUUCGUUGGUCGUUCAAAAAAAUAAAUCUUUCUUCAUAGUUUGCAUGAUUUGCAAGUCGUUGUAUUUGUUUUUCCUCGUUCUAGCUCUGAAUAAGAAGAAGUCACCAUUUGCGGAUCUUCAACGAAAAAUCAAGGAGACGGACUCUCAAAAUAAUAUUUUACAAUACAAAAAAAUGUUUUUUGUUCGGUAAAAUUAACACUAUGAAGCGAAAAAAACGGGGGUCGGGGACCCCCUGGCCCAUGAGAAGCUCCGCCAAUGGAAGACGCCAUUGUUGAGUUUCUAGGGUUUCAACAAAGGUAACUCUCAGCAUGUUGCUUAUGUGAAAGUUGAACCUCGUAUGUAAGUCUCAUUCGAAAGUUACUCAUGCCAGUGGCGGACUUACAUUGUUAUUAGGGGUAGCACGGGCUACCCCUCAACCCCGUCUCCGUAGUGUAAAAAUACCUCUUAACUCCGUUUCCGUAGUGUAAAAAUACCCCGCAACUUCGUCUCCGUUAUACAAAGGAUACCCCUGGUCUAAAAAAUAAAAAAUUGGGAUACCCCUAAAUUUUUGGGCUAGAUCCGCCGCUGACUCAUACGAAUGUUUAUGUGAAAGUUAACUCUCAAACGAAAGUUUAGACGAAAGAUAUUUAUGCGAAGGUUCUGAUUCUUUCUUGGGUGGUCAAACAAAAGUUUAUCACUCUUGUAUGGAAAUUCCACGUGAGAGUUACCAUGUGAAAGUAUCUAAAGGCUUAUGUCCAUGCGAAAGUUCCUAAAGUCUCGCUUAAACGUUCAUACGAAAGUCCCCAAACUCUAGCUCGCGUUAGGGGCUUAUGCGAAAGUUAAAUUAUUGAUUUAUUGUCCAUGCGAAAGUUGACCUAAUUUAUAUGUGAAUCUUUGACCAAAAUAACUACGUUGUUCAAGAAUCAGGAUCAUCUACCGUAUAAAGUAUAGAAGCUUUAUUUCACACUUCUAGACCCCUCCUUACAAUAUUUUAGGGUGAUAUGCAUGCCAAUAAUGUUUCACAAAAAUAUAUAGUAAAGUAUGUUACUUUAUAGCUGAUGUCUUUAUAGUCUAGUGGUAUUUUGAGGGUGGGAUAAAACUUUGAGAUCAAUAGGUCCUGGGUUCGUUUCUCACAAGAGGGGUUUUCCCAUAUUUAUUAGGUUUCCCCCUAAAUUGGUGUUUAGGCAUUUUGCCUAGUGUAGAUGGAUAUGAUCGGGUAGUUCCGCUGGUGGCACGAUGAUACUCCAGUGGUCCAAAUUUGCCGUUCAAAAAAAAGUAUGUUACUU
RNAcentral lists this long non-coding RNA (1694 nucleotides) under Helianthus annuus (common sunflower). RNAcentral describes it as "hypothetical non coding rna". The record is from RNAcentral. Lineage: Eukaryota; Viridiplantae; Streptophyta; Magnoliopsida; Asterales; Asteraceae.